GAAAUGCGAUAAGUAAUGUGAAUUGCAGAAUUCCGUGAAUCAUCGAAUCUUUGAACGCACAUUGCGCCCUCUGGUAUUCCGGGGGGCAUGCCUGUCCGAGCGUCAUUGCGAACCCCUCAAGCACGGCUUGUGUGAUGGGCCCUCCCGCGUCUUGGUCGUCAAGACGGGCCCGAAAUGCAGUGGCGGCUUCGCGGUUAUCCGAUCAGCCAGAGCGUAUGGGGACUUUCUCUCUGUCACACGCCCGCGGCGCGGACCGACGCCUGUCGACCUUUAUUCAUCUUUUUCUCGGUUGACCUCGGAUCAGGUAGGGAUACCCGUUGAACUUAAGC
This 329-nucleotide unclassified non-coding RNA is filed under the name plant metagenome. RNAcentral's name for it is "partial contains 5.8S ribosomal RNA, internal transcribed spacer 2, and large subunit ribosomal RNA". The stretch from base 1 to 105 matches the Rfam family "5.8S ribosomal RNA", at positions 50 to 154 of the family's 154-position model. The record is from RNAcentral.